AUACCGGAUAAGCCCUUACGGGGAAAGAUUUAUCGCCGAAAGAUCGGCCCGCGUCUGAUUAGCUAGUUGGUGAGGUAAUGGCUCACCAAGGCGACGAUCAGUAGCUGGUCUGAGAGGAUGAUCAGCCACAUUGGGACUGAGACACGGCCCAAACUCCUACGGGAGGCAGCAGUGGGGAAUAUUGGACAAUGGGGGCAACCCUGAUCCAGCCAUGCCGCGUGAGUGAUGAAGGCCCUAGGGUUGUAAAGCUCUUUUGUGCGGGAAGAUAAUGACGGUACCGCAAGAAUAAGCCCCGGCUAACUUCGUGCCAGCAGCCGCGGUAAUACGAAGGGGGCUAGCGUUGCUCGGAAUCACUGGGCGUAAAGGGUGCGUAGGCGGGUCUUUAAGUCAGGGGUGAAAUCCUGGAGCUCAACUCCAGAACUGCCUUUGAUACUGAAGAUCUUGAGUUCGGGAGAGGUGAGUGGAACUGCGAGUGUAGAGGUGAAAUUCGUAGAUAUUCGCAAGAACACCAGUGGCGAAGGCGGCUCACUGGCCCGAUACUGACGCUGAGGCACGAAAGCGUGGGGAGCAAACAGGAUUAGAUACCCUGGUAGUCCACGCCGUAACGAUGAAUGCCAGCCGUUAGUGGGUUUACUCACUAGUGGCGCAGCUAACGCUUUAAGCAUUCCGCCUGGGGAGUACGG
This 683-nucleotide ribosomal RNA is filed under the name Bradyrhizobium sp. Its description in RNAcentral is "bacterial SSU rRNA". It matches the Rfam family "Bacterial small subunit ribosomal RNA", at positions 166 to 885 of the family's 1533-position model. Lineage: Bacteria; Pseudomonadati; Pseudomonadota; Alphaproteobacteria; Hyphomicrobiales; Nitrobacteraceae. The record is from RNAcentral.